RNAcentral lists this ribosomal RNA (303 nucleotides) under uncultured bacterium. RNAcentral describes it as "partial 16S ribosomal RNA". It matches the Rfam family "Bacterial small subunit ribosomal RNA", at positions 507 to 807 of the family's 1533-position model. The record is from RNAcentral.
AGCAGUAGCCGCGGGAAUACGUAGGGUGCAAGCGUUAAUCGGAAUUACUGGGCGUAAAGCGUGCGCAGGCGGUCCGCUAAGACAGAUGUGAAAUCCCCGGGCUUGACCUGGGAACUGCAUUUGUGACUGGCGGGCUAGAGUAUGGCAGAGGGGGGUAGAAUUCCACGUGUAGCAGUGAAAUGCGUAGAGAUGUGGAGGAAUACCGAUGGCGAAGGCAGCCCCCUGGGCCAAUACUGACGCUCAUGCACGAAAGCGUGGGGAGCAAACAGGAUUAGAUACCCGAGUAGUCCCUGUCUCUUAUAC